UUGAGAAAGUGCAAGAAGCUUUGAAGACUGUAUGACAACUUUCCGAUGCUAGAGUAAUACCGUUUAAAAAGUAACACAAAUAAAAAAAAACUAUUGAAAUGAAGCGAAGAAUCAUAACAAUUAGUUUACUUUUCUACUACUUUUCAGAAAGAAUAAUUAUCCGAAUACAAGAGCAGAUCAUGCAUGUGUCAGAUGGGGCCAUGAAGCUGUCGGUGCAAGUCGGCGAUCCAAGUGUUCGUCACCGACACCGCACAUGAUCUCCUGUCGGAUUCCAAUGGGCUUGAAAAUGGUCCCACAUCCACAUGGUUAAGUGAAUCUGCAAGUUCACUUGCGGCAGCACAUCCACACUAGAUCGAACACUAGAGCAGUGGAUGCUUGUUAAAGUUUCGGAGAGGGAACUAAUCUAGUCACAACUGCUGUGCAAGUUGGAAACGAGGAUUUACUGUCCCAGAAACCUGCAGGGUUGCCAUCGAUGGAUGCUGGAGCACUACGCGGAAGCCCUGCAGCAACCGGUGCUCGACGACUAUUCUUCUAUGGAUUUAACAUAAAAAUAAAAAUAAAGUAGACAAAAGUUUGAUCUGCAAACAUCGUGCUGUAUGUCAACUAGAGCCCUAGACGCUUGCUAGACGUUGUUUGUGAACUGAAUUUGGGCAGUCAGUUUCCAGUCGUGACACCCUACUGGUUAUCAAAAGCUUGACCGCUGCACAAAGACUAUUGCACAACGUUGCAAUACUCUUUCCGCUCUAGUGCGAUUGAAUGCAUCGACUAUGUAGGUGAGAACGCAGCGUAUGCAACCGCCUGAUGUGUGACCCGCUGUCUUUUCGCGACGAAGUCACCAUCGCGACAAAUCCUGCCGACUUCCUCUUGCUGCUUCUCAGCACCACUUCGUGGCCUUGGGGAAUUAAACUAUCCUUGGGGAAUUAUGCGACUCUGCUACGAUUUUCCUAUGUUCCUCCCCUCGGUUUCGUUUAACAACGCUGUGAGAUCGAUGUUGCCCCCACUCAUUCCCUUCGAGCUUGGAAUCGACUGAGCUUAGGUUCUUCUCCAUUAGCAAAUUGCAAGCAAGUCGGUUACGGUUCAUCGUGUCGCCUCUGUGGAAUGAUCAUUCCAUCAGCUGGG
RNAcentral lists this long non-coding RNA (1119 nucleotides) under Physcomitrium patens. RNAcentral describes it as "long non-coding RNA (PPAT_LNC007068)". The record is from RNAcentral. Lineage: Eukaryota; Viridiplantae; Streptophyta; Bryopsida; Funariales; Funariaceae.